AACGAACGCUGGCGGCGUGCUUAACACAUGCAGGUCGAGCGAGAAAGGGGGCUUCGGCUCCUGAGUAAAGCGGCGCACGGGUGAGUAACACGUGGGUAACCUGCCUUUCAGUGGGGGAUAACAGUUCGAAAGGGCUGCUAAUACCGCAUUCGUCCACACGGUCACAUGUCUGUGUGGAGAAAGAGGCGCAAGUCUCGCUGGAAGAUGGGCCCGCGGUCCAUUAGCUAGUUGGUGGGGUAAAGGCCUACCAAGGCUUCGAUGGAUAGCUGGUCUGAGAGGAUGAUCAGCCACACUGGAACUGAGACACGGUCCAGACUCCUACGGGAGGCAGCAGUGGGGAAUAUUGCGCAAUGGGCGAAAGCCUGACGCAGCAACGCCGCGUGUGUGAUGAAGGCCUGCGGGUUGUAAAGCACUUUCAGUAGGGAGGAAACAGUAGCCGGUUAAUAUCCGGUUGCCUUGACGUUACCUACAGAAGAAGCACCGGC
Molecule: ribosomal RNA, 485 nt
Filed under: uncultured bacterium
Lineage: Bacteria
Description: bacterial SSU rRNA
Rfam family: Bacterial small subunit ribosomal RNA
Source: RNAcentral